Long non-coding RNA from Cyprinus carpio carpio, 1184 nucleotides. The record is from Ensembl. Lineage: Eukaryota; Metazoa; Chordata; Actinopteri; Cypriniformes; Cyprinidae.
CCGGUAAUGACCCUGACACCUUUAGACCAGAUCAAUAAAUGGGCACUUAAUGGAGUCCAGAUGAAUGAAUAUCAGAUGGACAGAGACCAGCUGGUCACUCCCUAGAGGAUAAUAAACUGGACCAAUAUGACAGAGGUCAUAGUUCAGAAUGACAGGUCAAGAACUCCUAAUUGAGUGGCGAUUUCCUCUUUCUCCCCAGUGACCACUGAGGACGGGUGACACUGGGGUCCCUAAAACGUCUGCAUGUCAAUGAACCCAUGACCACACAGAGACCAAAGACAGUGCCACCAGGGGGAGCAAGAGAAAGUGGAAUCUCACAGGGCAGAGUUUUUGUCAGGAGGAAAACUGGGAAGUAUCGCGCACUCUGAGGAACCAGUCACUCCAGUGCUGGGCUGCAGGAUAUCUAGGGCUCUGGAACCUUCUGCUGCUCAGCAUGAGGUGAGACGACACUUGGGAAAUACUAUAAUAUGAAAUUACUUAUAGGGUUUUUUCCAAUGUAGUUCAUUGUUCAUUAUUAAAAUAAUCUUGUAGCAUUUAUAGCUCUAAAUUAAUGUGCAUGCAAUUAAGUGCAUGCAAUGACAUAAAAAUGAAUUAACUAGGCAGCAUUUUAUAAUAACUUUAAACAGUUAAUUUAUUUGUCCUACUGGUUGUUAAUAUGAUAAUGUGUAAUCAAAGAUACAUGUGCACAAGUAAGUUUUUUUUUUUUUUUUAAAUAAUAAUCUAAUAAAGGUACUUUUGAAAUAUUUUAUAAAAAUGUAAUUAUUUUUGAGCAUGAGGGUCAUUUGUAAGGGGAAGUUUAUUUUUUUUUUCAACCAGGCAGAUUUUUUUUUUCUUUCCAAAACUGUAAUAUGGCACAUAAUGUUGUAUUGUAAAUUAUGAUUUUUUUAAAAGACAACAUAGAUAUUGUUUAUCUUUUAAUUCUUCACAUAAACCAUAGUUUCUAUGGUUUUAGUUAAUUUACAUUUAUGUAUCUGGUAGAUGCUUGAAUGAUUAUCCAGAGAAUAUUUUUUCAGUUCUUGCUUUUCCUAGGAAUCAAACCCAUGACCUUUGCGUUGCUAGCACCAUGCUGUACAGGAGGCUUAGUGAGCUAAAUUGAAUUUAGUUUCCUUCCCAGAGACUUCUAUUAUGCUUUCGUUUAUUACCAGUUAGAGUUCAGCGGUGGACUAUCUCCAUCUACUGCUGGU